This 987-nucleotide unclassified non-coding RNA is filed under the name Hevea brasiliensis (rubber tree). Lineage: Eukaryota; Viridiplantae; Streptophyta; Magnoliopsida; Malpighiales; Euphorbiaceae. The record is from RNAcentral.
ACCAAGUGAAGAUGAUGCUGGAUCUAGGUCCCUUCUCGGACGAGAAAUUCGAUCCGAAGAAAUGGAUCAAUUCAGCUUGCCAGACUCGCCAUCCACAGGAAUCUCUGGACAAGCACCUGGUGGAUCUCGAAAUGAAGCUUCAAAUGGUGUCAGAGGAGAUCGCCGCCUCUCUCGAAGAGCAGAGCGCAGCUUCCCUCCUCCGCGUCCCGCGUGCCACUCGCGAUGUCAUUCGCCUCCGUGAUGAUGCCGUCUCCCUUCGCAAUUCCAUUUCUGCAAUCCUCCAGAAGCUCAAGAAGGCUGAGGGAUCCUCGGCGGAAUCUAUAGCUGCACUUUCUAAAGUUGAUACCGUCAAACAAAGAAUGGAAACCGCUUAUGAGACUUUGCAGGAUGCUGCUGGGUUAACUCAAUUAAGUUCGACUGUAGAGGAUGUAUUUGCCAGUGGUGAUCUUCCGCGAGCUGCAGAAACCUUGGCCAACAUGAGGCAUUGCUUGUCUGCUGUUGGAGAGGUUGCUGAAUUUGCUAACAUUAGGAAGCAACUUGAGGUAUUAGAAAGUAGGCUGGAUGCAAUGGUACAGCCUCGUCUAACAGAUGCAUUGUCAAAUCGCAAGAUUGAUGCUGCCCAAGAUUUGCGGGGAAUUCUCAUUCGAAUUGGGAGAUUCAAGUCUCUGGAGAUGCAUUAUACGAAAGUUCACCUAGAACCCAUAAAGCAGCUCUGGGAAGAUUAUGACUCUAGACAACGAGCUAGUAAGUUUGCGGGUGAGAAGAAUGAAUUAGAAAGGCUAUCAGGCAAUAAUGACUUGCCUAUGAUUUCAUUCUCAAGUUGGUUGCCAAGUUUCUAUGAUGAGUUGCUGCUUUAUCUUGAGCAAGAAUGGAAGUGGUGUAUGGUUGCUUUUCCUGAUGAUUAUAAAAUUCUUGUACCAAAACUACUAAUUGAGACAAUGCAAGCUGUAGGGGCUAGCUUUGUUUCCCGUAUCAAUCUUGCCACUG